AAAUUGAAGAGUUUGAUCAUGGCUCAGAUUGAACGCUGGCGGCAGGCCUAACACAUGCAAGUCGAGCGGUAGCACAGAGAGCUUGCUCUCGGGUGACGAGCGGCGGACGGGUGAGUAAUGUCUGGGAAACUGCCUGAUGGAGGGGGAUAACUACUGGAAACGGUAGCUAAUACCGCAUAACGUCGCAAGACCAAAGUGGGGGACCUUCGGGCCUCAUGCCAUCAGAUGUGCCCAGAUGGGAUUAGCUAGUAGGUGGGGUAACGGCUCACCUAGGCGACGAUCCCUAGCUGGUCUGAGAGGAUGACCAGCCACACUGGAACUGAGACACGGUCCAGACUCCUACGGGAGGCAGCAGUGGGGAAUAUUGCACAAUGGGCGCAAGCCUGAUGCAGCCAUGCCGCGUGUGUGAAGAAGGCCUUCGGGUUGUAAAGCACUUUCAGCGGGGAGGAAGGCGGUGAGGUUAAUAACCUCAUCGAUUGACGUUACCCGCAGAAGAAGCACCGGCUAACUCCGUGCCAGCAGCCGCGGUAAUACGGAGGGUGCAAGCGUUAAUCGGAAUUACUGGGCGUAAAGCGCACGCAGGCGGUCUGUCAAGUCGGAUGUGAAAUCCCCGGGCUCAACCUGGGAACUGCAUUCGAAACUGGCAGGCUAGAGUCUUGUAGAGGGGGGUAGAAUUCCAGGUGUAGCGGUGAAAUGCGUAGAGAUCUGGAGGAAUACCGGUGGCGAAGGCGGCCCCCUGGACAAAGACUGACGCUCAGGUGCGAAAGCGUGGGGAGCAAACAGGAUUAGAUACCCUGGUAGUCCACGCUGUAAACGAUGUCGAUUUGGAGGUUGUGCCCUUGAGGCGUGGCUUCCGGAGCUAACGCGUUAAAUCGACCGCCUGGGGAGUACGGCCGCAAGGUUAAAACUCAAAUGAAUUGACGGGGGCCCGCACAAGCGGUGGAGCAUGUGGUUUAAUUCGAUGCAACGCGAAGAACCUUACCUGGUCUUGACAUCCACAGAACUU
RNAcentral lists this ribosomal RNA (1006 nucleotides) under Klebsiella variicola. RNAcentral describes it as "bacterial SSU rRNA". It matches the Rfam family "Bacterial small subunit ribosomal RNA", at positions 1 to 998 of the family's 1533-position model. RNAcentral also lists the same sequence under 2 other names. The record is from RNAcentral. Lineage: Bacteria; Pseudomonadati; Pseudomonadota; Gammaproteobacteria; Enterobacterales; Enterobacteriaceae.